This 240-nucleotide ribosomal RNA is filed under the name uncultured bacterium. RNAcentral describes it as "partial 16S ribosomal RNA". It matches the Rfam family "Bacterial small subunit ribosomal RNA", at positions 98 to 334 of the family's 1533-position model. The record is from RNAcentral.
CCGCACGGGUGAGUAACACGUAUGCAAUCCACCUGUAACAGGGGGAUAACCCGGAGAAAUCCGGACUAAUACCCCAUAAUAUGGGCGCUCCGCAUGGAGAGCCCAUUAAAGAGAGCAAUUUUGGUUACAGACGAGCAUGCGCUCCAUUAGCCAGUUGGCGGGGUAACGGCCCGCCAAAGCGACGAUGGAUAGGGGUUCUGAGAGGAAGGUCCCCCACAUUGGAACUGAGACACGGUCCAA